UACGUAGGGGGCAAGCGUUGUCCGGAAUCAUUGGGCGUAAAGCGCGUGUAGGCGGUUCAGUAAGUCUGCUGUGAAAGUCCAGGGCUCAACCCUGGGAUGCCGGUGGAUACUGCUGGACUAGAGUGCGGAAGAGGCGAGUGGAAUUCCCGGUGUAGCGGUGAAAUGUGUAGAGAUCGGGAGGAACACCGGUGGCGAAGGCGGGUCUCUGGGCAUCUCCUGACGCUGAGGCGCGAAAGCGUGGGGAGCAAACGGG
RNAcentral lists this ribosomal RNA (253 nucleotides) under uncultured bacterium. RNAcentral describes it as "partial 16S ribosomal RNA". It matches the Rfam family "Bacterial small subunit ribosomal RNA", at positions 524 to 776 of the family's 1533-position model. The record is from RNAcentral.